GCGGCUAGUGGCUUUCAUCCCUGGCUGUGAUGGGCGUCUCUCUCUCUUCUGAGUUCUUGAGGUUUUGUUGACUGAUCAAGGACGGGCGGGCAGCAAAGUAUUGAUGAACUUCAACAGGUUAGAAGGAUGAAAGGACAAGACCAAACUUUAUAUCUUUCUUGAGCUUGCAACUGAAGGUUCACUUUUAAAUCUCUAUCAAAAGCAUAAACUGUCAGACUCCCAAGCCUCUAAAUACACAAGGCAGAUUGUGAAAGGUUUGAAUUAUCUACAUGAGCAUAAUGUAGUUCACAGGAGAGUUUUUGGGUCAUGAUUACAGAAUGGAAACCUGAAAAUUGAAAGAAUCCUAAUGCAAAAGCCAUUUACAAUGCUACAAACUCUCUCUCUCUCUCUCUCUCUCAUGUGAUUGAGAUGGUAAAUGGAAUAACUAGCAAGGCUAGAACCAUGGAGGGAUGUGAUCAUGGGACUCAGAAGUACCACAAGUAGGUCAUAAGGGAAAUUAGGCUUAUUGAUUUGGUCAUGCGCAACAAAGGCCAAUAAUUGCAUUGUUAAGAAGAAAUGGGUGGACAUUGGGAAUCAAUUGAGGUUACUUCAGGAAAUUAGACAUUUGGAAUGACAGUUGAAGCCACAAUGUUGUACAUUUACUUACACAUAAAUUGUUUCUGUUGUAAGACUAAUUGGUUCUGUAUCAUCUUCGAGGGAUAUCUGGUGGAUGUAAAUGGAACCGUGAAACUUGUGGAUUUUGGAUUGGCAAAGUUUUGCAAAUUGAACAACAUAAAAUCUUUUAAAGGGACUGCAUUCCGGAUGGCCCCUGAGGUGGUUGCAUCAGAAAAGGAAAUGACAUGAUUGAAUUGGGUUAUUGAAUAGCUCGAUUAUUGGACUGGAGCUAUCCCAACUAACAAAUUGAUAAGUUGUUGUUUUCCAAACUGUUGCUCUUUCUAAGAUUUUAUCCUACAAGGCAUUUAGUCAAUGCCAUGUCUUAUUACCAAUGCAUUUUCAUUUUGCAUCAGUCAUUAGUAUCUUUCUGUACAACUGCCAAUAUACUGACACUAAUAGAUGCAUGGAACCACUGAAUGCUCAAUUGAUGAGGAUUUUCCAUUCAAAUCUGAGAAUUUAAGCAUCAAGCUACCUUUUUCCA
Molecule: RNA transcript, 1135 nt
Organism: Vitis riparia (riverbank grape)
Lineage: Eukaryota; Viridiplantae; Streptophyta; Magnoliopsida; Vitales; Vitaceae
Gene name: mitogen-activated protein kinase kinase kinase 1-like
Exons: 6
Source: RefSeq, a predicted model, not a curated record